CUGCUGCCUCCCGUAGGAGUCUGGGCCGUGUCUCAGUCCCAAUGUGGCCGUUCACCCUCUCAGGCCGGCUACUGAUCGUCGCCUUGGUGGGCCGUUACCCCGCCAACAAGCUAAUCAGACGCGGAACCAUCGUAUACCACCGGAGUUUUUCACACUGUCCCAUGCGGGUCUGUGCGCUUAUGCGGUAUUAGCACCUAUUUCUAAGUGUUAUCCCCCCAGUAUACGGCAGGUUUUCCACGCGUUACUCACCCGUCCGCCACUAA
RNAcentral lists this ribosomal RNA (263 nucleotides) under uncultured bacterium. Its description in RNAcentral is "partial 16S ribosomal RNA". The record is from RNAcentral.